CCACCACGCCUGCCUGCUCGGCUGAGAAUCGCCAUGUUUGUUUCGUGUAAAAGGAUUAAGUAAAAAUUUCUUGGUUUGAGAGUCAUUCCAUGAGCUAUUAAAGCCAGCUAAAGGGAAAAAAGGAAAAGGCCAGGGCAAGUCUCAUGGGAAGAAACAGAAGAAACCAGAAGUGGACAUUCUCAGCCCCGCGGCCAUGCUGAACCUCUACUACAUCGCCCACAACGUCGCUGACUGCCUGCAUCUGCGAGGCUUCCAUUGGCCGGGUGCUCCCAAAGGAAAGAAAGGGAGAAGCAAGUGACAGCAUUUCACAACACAUCUCUGUUACAGACAACAGGACCUGGGGAAGAGAAGUCAGGAUAACACAACUGUUGCCAGCAACAUAGACUUUACUCCAGACGACUUGAGAUGCAAAUUAAGUGUGCUUUUCUGUGAUGGUGGAAGAUCAGGAAAUGCACCUUACUUCCUCUGUUAUGCCAGAUAUGGUUAGCCACUUUG
Molecule: long non-coding RNA, 495 nt
Filed under: Homo sapiens (human)
Lineage: Eukaryota; Metazoa; Chordata; Mammalia; Primates; Hominidae
Description: HSALNT0128896
Source: RNAcentral